AACGAGGUCCGGGUGCACAGACAACUAGGAUGUUGCCUAAGAAGCAGCCACCAUUUAAACAGUGCGUCAAAGCUCACUAGUCGAGUGACCCUGCGCCGAAAAUGUACCGGUGCUAAACAUAUUACCGAAGCUGUGGACUACACCAUUAGGUGUAGUGGUAGGAGAGCGUUAUAAGGUCGUUGAAUGUCGAUCGUGAGGACGGCUGGAGCGCUUAUAAGUGAGAAUGCCG
This 229-nucleotide ribosomal RNA is filed under the name Enterococcus faecalis. RNAcentral's name for it is "partial 23S ribosomal RNA". It matches the Rfam family "Bacterial large subunit ribosomal RNA", at positions 1069 to 1299 of the family's 2925-position model. Lineage: Bacteria; Bacillati; Bacillota; Bacilli; Lactobacillales; Enterococcaceae. The record is from RNAcentral.